RNAcentral lists this ribosomal RNA (425 nucleotides) under uncultured bacterium. Its description in RNAcentral is "partial 16S ribosomal RNA". It matches the Rfam family "Bacterial small subunit ribosomal RNA", at positions 354 to 796 of the family's 1533-position model. The record is from RNAcentral.
GUGGGGAAUCUUGCGCAAUGGGCGAAAGCCUGACGCAGCCAUGCCGCGUGAAUGAUGAAGGUCUUAGGAUUGUAAAAUUCUUUCACCGGGGACGAUAAUGACGGUACCCGGAGAAGAAGCUCCGGCUAACUUCGUGCCAGCAGCCGCGGUAAUACGAAGGGGGCUAGCGUUGCUCGGAAUUACUGGGCGUAAAGGGCGCGUAGGCGGACAGCUUAGUCAGAGGUGAAAGCCCAGGGCUCAACCUUGGAAUUGCCUUUGAUACUGGCUGUCUUGAGUUUGGGAGAGGUGAGUGGAACUCCGAGUGUAGAGGUGAAAUUCGUAGAUAUUCGGAAGAACACCAGUGGCGAAGGCGACUCACUGGCCCAAUACUGACGCUGAGGCGCGAAAGCGUGGGGAGCAAAAGGGAUUAGAUACCCGAGUAGUCC